AUUUGAUAUGUUUCUUUUCAGAACUUGGAUUUUUCUUUGUUUCUACCCAAAGGAAGUGUCAUUGGAGAGCCGGAACCUGGAUUUUUUUUUUGGAUCCACCCGAAUCAAUUUUCCUCCGGGAGCCGGGGAUCCCCUUUUCGUUUUGGUUUUUGAAUUUUAGACUUAAAAUAUUUAAUGAACUGGGAUAUUUUUAUCAUCUAUCAAAAUCAAAAUUGUUUCAGGAGCUAAGUAACCUUUUUUCAUUUUCCACUUUACAUUUUCAAUGGUAUAUACAUGAUAAUUCAAUAUACA
Long non-coding RNA from Sipha flava (yellow sugarcane aphid), 291 nucleotides. RefSeq lists it as uncharacterized. The transcript has 3 exons. The record is from RefSeq and is a predicted model, not a curated record. Lineage: Eukaryota; Metazoa; Arthropoda; Insecta; Hemiptera; Aphididae.